CUCGUUCUCGAGGCGGGAGCUGAGGUGCGGGGUGGGGCCUCCAACCGUGCAGCCCGCCCCUGACGCCGCCGGUAACUGCGACAGUCGGGGUCGGUGCGGUUUGCUAAGUGGUCGGUUCCUGGAGCUGCGGUCUUCUGCUAGCCUGAUCCGCAGCUUCAGCCUCCGCCGCCUCCUCAGCCCUCGGCGCCGCCGCCUGACCCGCAGGCCGCCGCGGGCCGCAGAGCCCAUGAGGGCGCGGGCACCGCCGCCGCCUCCGCGGCGUCGCCGUCGUCCCGGAGCGCCCCGAGCUGGCGCGGGCAUGGCCGCGGCAUGAGCGUGGAGCCGCCGCCGGAGCUGGAGGAGAAGGCGGCGUCGGAGCCCGAGGCGGGAGCCAUGCCGGAGAAGCGCGCGGGCGCGCAGGCCGCGGGGAGCACCUGGCUACAAGGCUUUGGCCCACCAAGUGUGUACCAUGCUGCUAUUGUCAUCUUCCUUGAAUUCUUUGCGUGGGGCCUUUUGACAACUCCAAUGUUGACUGUUCUACAUGAAACAUUUUCUCAACACACAUUCCUCAUGAAUGGUCUCAUUCAAGGUGUAAAGGGCCUGCUCUCUUUUUUGAGUGCCCCACUCAUUGGUGCCCUGUCUGAUGUGUGGGGGAGGAAGCCCUUUCUCCUCGGCACUGUAUUCUUUACCUGCUUCCCAAUCCCACUGAUGAGGAUCAGCCCAUGAAGUUUUCAUGGGCUGAGCUGCUGAGUUCAGCCUGGGAACUGAGGCCAACAAGGGAGUCUCCUCGGCACACAAGUUUGAAAGAAGUCCUGGUGACUUCAAGCUCAGAACCAUGGACGGCAGGGCUCCCUCUGGAUGUGGAAUUCUCCGUCCCUUUCCAGGGAGGGAACAAAGCCCACAGCACCGAGACUCCUUCAGGGUGAGCAAAGGCCUGGAAACCUGUAUGCAGUUAAAGAAAAGGAAAGAAAGAGAUAAUCAGUGCAUGCAGUUGUCAGCUGGCUGGGACCUGAGGAGAGUCACUUGUGGAGGCAACUGGUCUUUAUCCCUAUUGUCCGGUACAAGGCAGGCAUUAAUCCUGUGAUCCUUAUCUGAAGCUCAGGCUAAAUAGGGGAGUAGAAUGGGAAUGUGAUAAAAAGUACCACCUCUGCAUCCUUCAAGUCCUUGAUGGUGGUACUAAUCUCUGCAAGCUCUACAAGAAUGCAGUAUUGUUUUUGGUUUGCUGUUUUUCUAGAUAGAGGCAGGUAAGUGGCUUCCACUUUAUAGCGUAAUUGCCCUCACUCUUCAGGUCAGGAAACCAGUGUAGGGAUUCUGCUAAUUGUUGAGUAUGUCUAUUCCAAUUAUUCUGCAGCUACAGAGAUAACAAGACGACCCACUGCAAGACAGACCUAAACUAAAACUCCAUUGAUCACCUAACCUCCCUAAGCCCCUACUCUCACUUGUGAACCAGAGUGAUGCAUUAGUUUUCCUGGGGUACCCUGAGUCUGAGUUCAGAACCAAUGUCCAGUAAUUCCCCCAAAGUCUGAUUAUUCCCUUUUCCCCAAUGCACAGUCAACUUGGUAAAGUGCUAUAGGUCCCUUUGGGGAAGGCUGAGAGAAAAAUGAACAGUAUACAAUUUUGGUAAUGCAGUGGGGACACAGCCUCCUCAUUAUUUAAGGAGAUAUGGGUCUGCAAACUGGCCCAAGUCUUGGAAUUGAUUCAGGAGCUGUGACUCCGUUUUUUUGAUUCGAGUUAGACUUUUAUUCACUUGAUUCUUCUUUUUAUACAGAACAGAUAAGAAUUUAGUAGGCUUUCCAUCUCUUUUAUUUCUAUGGAUACUAUGACCAGCUAGCUAAUGCCAUAAGUCUCUGUAAAUCGGACUUUCUAACUACAGUUUUGACUUUACUGUCCAUUACAGUAACCAUGUUCACCUUGUCUUUGGUGAUUAAAUGCUGCCACUUGGCCCCUGCCAUCCUGGGAUCCAGUUACUCUCCUUAUACUUAAGAAUCCCAUUCAGUGGCAGCAGUUCCCACUGUAAUUUCUGACCUAUACAGAAGAGCAACCACAGAGCUCUUUAAAAAUAUUGGAACUCCCUCACAAAUUUAUUUCUCAUAGUCAUAACAGAAAGUGUGUCCUGAGCUAGAUGUGGUAGCUCACACCUAUAAUCCCAGCACCUUGGGUGGCCAAGGUAGGAGAAUCGCUUGAGCUCAGGAGUUUGAAGCCUGCUUGGGCAACGUAGCAAGACCUUGCCUCUAUAAAAAUUUUUAAAAUUAGCCAGGUAUGAUGGUGCAUAUAGUCCCAGCUACUCAGGAGGCUGAGGCAGGAGGGUCUCUUGAGCCCAGGAGUUUGAGGGUACAGUGUGCUAUGGUCACACCACUGCACUCCAGCCUGGGCAAUAGAGUGAGCCCUGACUCUAAAAAAUAAUAAUAAAUAGAAAAAGAAAGCAUGUCCUCUUGUUAAAGAUUUUUCAAUGACACUUGUUCAAGGAUGGUAAGGCUGACUUUUUCAAGAUCAUCAGAAUAGAUACAGGGACCAAUGCAAUAGCAUUUUACAGCGAGGGAGAGAGAUUGGGCUCAACUCUGAAUACAGUUUGGGUAAGUGGGAAUUUAUUGCCAAGGAGUAGGGUGGGGGUCAGUGGAUUGAAAAUUACUAAGAGGAAACUUCAAGAGUAAGGAAAGAUUCUGGCUUAACUGACCUAACAGGAUUCUUGCUGAAAACAGGCUGGGGUGUUGAGACACUACCUGGGAGAUGGUGGAGGAUGAAGCCCUGAUCAGAUAUGGAGGAUGAUCAGAUAUUGAGCAUGGAGGUUCUUUUUUUUUUUAUGCUUUAAGUUCUAGGGUACAUGUGCACAACGUGCAGGUUUGUUACAUAUGUAUACAUGUGCCAUGUUGGUGUGCUGCACCCAUCAACUCGUCAUUUACAUUAGGUAUUUCUCCUAAUGCUAUCCUUCCCCCCUCUUCCCAUCCCACAACAGGCCCCAGUGUGUGAUGUUCCCCGCCCUGUGUCCAUGUGUUCUCAUUGUUCAAUUCCCACCUAUGAGUGAGAACAUGCGGUGUUUGGUUUUCUGUCCUUGUGAUAGUUUGCUCAGAAUGAUGGUUUCCAGCUUCAUCCAUGUCCCUACAGAGGACAUGAACUCAUCAUUUUUUUUUUUUUUUUUUUUUGAGACGGAGUCUCGCUCUGUCACCCAGGCUGGAGUGCAGUGGCGCGAUCUCCGCUCACUGCAAGCUCCGCCUCCCGGGUUCACGGCAUUCUCCCGCCUCAGCCUCCCGAGUAGCUGGGACUACAGGCGCCCGCCACCGCUCCCGGCUAAUUUUUUGUAUUUUUAGUAGAGAAGGGGUUUCACCGUGCUAGCCAGGAUGGUCUCGAUCUCCUGACCUCGUGAUCCACCCACCUCGGCCUCCCAAAGUGCUGGGAUUACAGGCGUGAGCCACUGCGCCCGGCCUUGAACUCAUCAUUUUUUAUGGCUGCAUAGUAUUCCAUGGUGUAUAUGUGCCACAUUUUCUUAAUCCAGUCUAUCAUUGAUGGACAUUUGGGUUGGUUCCAAGUCUUUGCUAUUGUGAAUAGUGCUGCAAUAAACGUACAUGUACAUUUGUCUUUAUAGCAGCAUAAUUUAUAAUCCUUUGGGUAUAUACCCAGUAAUGGGAUGGCUGAGUCAAGAUGGUAUUUCUAGUUCUAGAUCCCUGAGGAAUUGCCACACUGUUUUCUACAAUGGUUGAACUAGUUUAUAGUCCCACCAACAGUGUAAAAGUGUUCCUGUUUCUCUACAUCCUCUCCAGCACCUGUUGUUUCCUGACUUUUUAAUGAUCAGAUAGCCUCCUAUUUUUUAACUAUGAGUUGGAAUUUGCUGCUUUUGAUAUGAUAAGAAAGUUCAAAGUUUCUCUUCCUUGCUUUGUUGUGUGUUCUAAUUCUUUUCUGCCCAUCCCCCAGUAAAGAAAAGGCUCAGUAUGAUUUCUUGAAUAGAUUGUUUAAGCUAUUUUCAAAACAGGACUUGGUCAGGGGCAGGUAGUCUUAAAUGUUCAGAAGCCACUGGAUGGAAAAUUGUGAGCACAUAAGUGUUUUUCUUGGUCAACCAUGUCAUUUUAUAGCCAAAGUUUGACUUGACAUACUGGAAUUAAUCCACACGACUUUGAAAAGAAUAAACUCUUUAAAAAGAGAGUGAGCGCUCCGAGGGUGUUAUGAGAGUCACUGUCUGAAACCCUAUUGAUCAUAUUGUGGCAGAAGAAAUAGAGUCCUGCCAUGAAUUAUACUUUUCAGGUUAAAAAAAAAAAAAGCAAUUUGUAGGACAGUUUGAAUAAUUUAGUACAAUUGUUAAAAAUACAGACAUGCACAUUCCUGUAUGUGCAUUUUUAAAUGUUCACGAAUGAUAUAAGCCAGAUAUAUUUCUUAGAGGUGCUUGAAAAAAGUUAUUUCUUCUUGGGCUUUAUUAUCUCAAUUUAAAAAAAUUAAGAUGCAUAAUUCUCAUAAGAUAACAGAUUCAGAAGAAUAUAGUUCAAGAAAAAAAAUUAAAGAACUCAUAAAGGAGAAGGAGGAGGAGGAAGAGAGUGUGAAACAGGAGCCUCAGAUAACUUGGUAAAGGCAUGUCUCCCAUUUGGGAACUGAUGUUCCUAAGAUCCGCACUGACGCUGCUCAGCCGGUCCAUCACACAGCAAAGGCGUGAGGAAGGGUCACUGCCCAGCUGGACUCCAGGGUGGUCCACGCAUGACAGUCACACCGAACCUUCAUGAGGAUGUGAACUGUUGGCUCCAAUUUACCAUUCCCAGCAAUUCCACUCAGAUAUUUGUAUACUAAUGUUCACAGCAGCGUGAACUCCACAGCAGGUGGAGUAAUGUUCCAUUGUGUGCAUAUGCCACAUUUUGUUUAUCCAUUCAUCUGUUGAUGCACAUUUCGGUUGUUCCCACCUUUGGGCUAUUAUUAAUAAUGCUGCUGUGAACAUUCCCAAGAGAAAUAGGAAGACGGCUUUGCUAAGAACUAAAAAAGGGAUGGACAACAAGGGCAUAUACCCAGGGGCAGUGUUCUAUCAUGACAGCUUUACUGAGAGCAGAGUAGUUCUGCUCAGAAUCAGAACACUUGUUCCCUAUAGCCCCCCUGAUUGCCCCACAACCACCACCGCAUACUCCCCUUUUCCCAACCAUGGGCAGCAGAUUGAGCUAUUAACAGAAGUGUCCUUUCGCUGGAUUUCUCAACCCUUUCCUCAUCGUCCACAUAGAGAAACAGUAACAGAUUGCUACUCACCCAACACCCAGGUCAAGUCCAAUGCAGGUAGGAAUAACAGCAAAUCCUUCAAUUUCUUGAUUCUGCUCUUAAAAAUCUUAACAGAGGCCGGGCACGGUGGCUCACGCCUGUAAUGCCAGCAUUUUGGGAGGCCGAGGCGGGUGGAUCACCAAGACCAGCCUGGCCAAGAUGGUGAAACCCCGUCUCCACUAAAAAUACAAAAAUUAGCCAGGCGUGGUGGUGGGCACCUGUAAUCCCAGGUACUCGGGAGGCUGAGGCAGAGAAUUGCUUGAACGCGGGAGGCAGAGACUGCAGUGAGCCGAGAUCACACCACUGCACUCCAGCCCAGGUGACAGAGCAAGACUCCAUCUCAAAAAAAAAAAAAAAAGACUUAACAGAGCAUUUCACGGGGAAGGGCCAUGAGGGAACAUCACCUGGGUGAUGGUAACAUUCUGUAUCUUGAUAAGGAUUUGAGUUAUACAAGUAUAUACAUCUGUCAAAAUUCAAAGAAUGUACACUCAAGAUCUGUGCAUUUCAUUAUAUGUAAAUGUUACAUUAAAAUGUUGUAAACAAAUAUUGAACAAAUAUACGCAUGCUAAAGUAUUUAAGAGGAAGUACUGGUGUCUGCAAAACAAAAAUUUUUUUUCCAUUUUCUGUGGUAAAAUAUACAUAAUAUAAAUGUAUUAUUUUAAGUGUACAAUUCAGUGGCAUUAAAUACACUCAGAAAGUUGUGCAAACAUCCCAUUUAUUCAUUUCCACAGAUUUUUUAAUUCUCAUUCCAAACAGAAGCCCUGUACCCAAAGAGCAAUAACUCCGCAUCCUCCAAUCCCCACUCUCUGGUAACCUCUAUUCUACUUUCUGCCUCUAUGAAUUUGCCAAUUCUAGGUACCUCAUAUAAGUGGAAUACAGUAUUUAUCCUUUUGUGUCUGGCUUCUUUCACUUAGCAUAAUAUUUUCAAGGUUCAUUCAUGUUUUACAUGUAUCAGAAUCUUGUUUUUUCAGGUGGAGUAAUGUUCUAUUGUGUGCAUAUGCCACAUUUGGUUUAUCCAUUCAUCAGUUGAUGCACAUUUCGGUUGUUCCCACCUUUGGGCUAUUAUGAAUAAUGUUGCUGUGAACACUGGUAUACAAAUAUCUGAGUGGAAUUGCUGGAUCAUAUGGUAAUUCUGCAUUUAACUUUUUAAGGAACUGCCAAACUGUUUUCCACAGAGCUGUAACAUUUUACAUCCAAACCAGCAAUAGGACCUGGAUAAAAGGUGGCUAAGGCACAGUUAAAUAAAAUACUGUUAGUUACUGCCCAUUUGCAUUGGGUUUCUAGUGGCAAAUAAUCUAGCCGUGUCCUUGACUGGAUCUCCCAAUGAUUCUUUUCAGUCAUUUGAAUGAGUAUGGUGGUGGUGACACUGGCAGGAGGCUGGAGGGUACUUUAAUUAACACGCGAACACACACAAAUCCAUUGCACCCCACUAAGCCGCCCAAACACACAUGAAACACAAAAACUAUCCUUGCUAGGGAAACACAGCCCUGGAACAAACCCCCUGGACCCCUUGUCACCACCAGCCCAUCCUGUAAGAAAAUGAUGGUUGAAGCUGCAGUGACAGAAUUGGAGAGAUGCUCUGUUAGACAAGUCUGUCAGCUGAAAGGGGCAGAAACCAUUGUUGAACUGCUUAUAUGAGAGGAAGACCUGGGUGGCACAGGCCUGGCUGGACGCAGGGCUCACAGAGCGUCAUCAGCACUUCAUCUCUUCCCCUGCGGGACCUGCUGUCCUCUGCGUUGCACACACCCCCCGCCAGGCUCAUCCCUGUAUCCUCCUUGGAGGAAAGUGCCAGGCUGGUGCUACUUGGCCCUGCCUGGGUCACACGCCUGCCUCGGGAUGUGGAGGAUGGUCAGCCCAGCCACAGCACAUGGAUUGCUAUGUGAAGGAUGAUGUUCCACAAGAAAACCAGGACGGCUUCACCAGGGAGGCAAGAGCAGCAGAUGCCCAUGACAGAGGGUGUAUACUCUGAAUAAAAGAAUUUGGAUUUUUAAAAAGAGACAGGAAGAAAAGGACUUCCAAACUCUAGAAAGUUUAAAACUAGUAGAAUGAAACAUAUUGUGUAUAAAUGUAAAGCUCUUUGUUGAGAUUAAAUAUACGUAUCAGUUAAAUUUUAUUUAAACAUAUAUAUACACAUAUACACACACACACAUACAUAUAUAUGACCCAAGUACAGGAUAAAGAUGAAAUUAAUAAGUACUCUUUAAAAAUCUUAGUUUUGGGGCUGGGCGCGGUGGCUCACGCCUCUAAUCCAAGCACUUUGGGAGGCCAAGGCGGGCGGAUCACCUGAGAUCGGUAGUUCGAGACCAGCCUGACCAACGUGGAGAAACCCUGUCUCUACUAAAAAUACAAAGAAUUAGCCGGACGUGGUGGCGCAUGCCUGUAAUCCCAGCUACUCGGGAGGCUGAGGCAGGAGAAUCGCUUGAACCCGGGAGGCGGAGAUCGCAGUGAGCCAAGAUGGUGCCAUGUCACUCCAGCCUAGGCAACAAGAGCAAAACUCCAUCUCAAAAAAAAAAAAAAUUAGUUUUGGGAUACCAGUAAUUUCAGUAUUAUUAACAACCUGACUUGGGCACCCCAAAAGUUUGCAAUAAUGGCAUUAAAUGGCUGGAUAGAGAAAGAGAUGGUGGCGUGAAUGCCUGCUUCCUGGUGUCAUGUCUGGAAUUUCAUGUCCAGUCCUGAAAGCUGCAUUUUAGGAAGGGUGCUACUGAGCGUCCAGAGAAGACAGCAUUUCGCUUGGUGAAGGGAGUGGGCUUAUGAUGCAUGGCAGGAGGAGUAAUGUAGAAAGAAAUAAGCUUUGCGGUGCAUAGUGUAGAGAAAUUCCUGCUUUGCGUCAAACAGACUGACCAGGCAGGCCUCACAGUUUUGCAAAGCCCUGGAAGCACAGGCUUGGCUGCAGAUGUUGGAUGACUUUCCAGACCAGUUUUGGAAAAAGCUCUUGAGGAUCAGAAGCUCCUGGGAUUUCUGUUAUCACCUGAUUUCAUGGAGAGAGACAGUCCAGGGCCGGGAAUUAUGUGGCAUCUAUGUGUUCCCCAGUUGUGGGAUCCAUCUGGCCGAUGGUUAUGGUGGUCAGUGACUUUCAGAGGCCUGGAAUUCAUGACAGAUGCUUUUGCUAAUGUGCUUGGUGCCCCACUGAGGCUGCUGAGCAGUGCUUACCAUGCGCCCGAUGUCUCUUCUGUGUGCCUCUGAGAGCAAAAGUGGCCUCAGAGUCUGAAGGAGGGCAAAGUGGCCACAGCUGCAGACACAAAGUCCAGACUAGCUCUUGACCACAUCCAAGUGCAUCCUGCAUUAAGCUCAGGCACAUCAAACCUGCCCAAUCAAGGUCUGCCAAAGGAAGGAGUCUGCAAAUGACAUUUCUCAUAAUCAAACACACUCUUAAUUUGUUUUUAUAUUAUUCACUCCAUUUUUUGAUUAUUAUAACUUUUAAAAUUAUGUCUAGUAGUUUUAUCAAUUGCUGAGAAGAGUGUUGAAGUCCAACUUACAAUUGUGGAUUUGUUGAUUUCUUCUUUCAGCUUUAUUGGUUUUGGUUUAUGCAUUUUAAGGCUCUGCUCUUGGUGUGUACACAUGUAAAACCAUUUUGUCUUCAUAGUAAAUUAAUUUUUAAAAAUCAUUAUGUAAUGUCCCUCUUUGCUCCAGUAAUUCUUUGCUCUGAGGUCUACUGUAUUAGUAUUAAUAUAGCGACUUCUACUUUUAAGUUAAUAUUUGCAUGGUACAUUUAUUUUAAUGCUUUUCAUUUUCUUUUUUUUUUUCUUUUUUUAUUAUACUGUAAGUUUUAGGGUACAUGUGCACAACAUGCAUGUUAGUUACAUACAUAUACAUGUGCCAUGUUGGUGUGCUGCACCCAGUAACUCGUCAUUUAACAUUAGGUAUAUCUCCAAAUGCUAUCCCUCCCCCCUCCCCCCACCCCACAACAGGCCCUGGUGUGUGAUGUUCCCCUUCCUGUGUCCAUGUGUUCUCAUUGUUCAAUUCCCACCUAUGAGUGAGAACAUGUGGUGUUUGGUUUUUUGUCUUUGCAAUAGUUUGCUGAGAAUGAUGGUUUCCAGCUUCAUCCAUGUCCCUGCAAAGGACAUGAACUCGUCAUAUUUUAUGGCUGCAUAGUAUUCCAUGGUGUAUAUGUGCCACAUUUUCUUAAUCCAGUCUAUCAUUGUUGGACAUUUAGGUUGGUUCCAAGUCUUUGCUAUUGUGAAUAGCGCUGCAAUAAACAUACGUGUGCAAGUGUCUUUAUAGUAGCAUGAUUUAUAAUCCUUUGGGUAUAUACCCAUUAAUGGGAUGGCUGGGUCAAAUGGUGUUUCUAGUUCUAGAUCCCUGAGGAAUCGCCACACUGACUUCCACAAUGGUUGAACUAGUUUACUUUUCAUUUUCAGUCUACCUAUGUCAUUGUAUUUCAAGUGAGUUUUUGUAGAUCCAGCAUAAUGUUGUAUCAUGUUUGGUUUUUUGUUUUUUAGUCCACUCUGCCAAUCUCUGUCUUUUAAUUACUGUACGUAGACCACUUGAAGAAUUGCCUUGUAGCAAUUCUGAUAUAUGAGGGCUGAAGUCUGCCAUUUUGUUAUUUG
This 9746-nucleotide long non-coding RNA is filed under the name Homo sapiens (human). The record is from RNAcentral. Lineage: Eukaryota; Metazoa; Chordata; Mammalia; Primates; Hominidae.